RNAcentral lists this ribosomal RNA (635 nucleotides) under uncultured bacterium. RNAcentral describes it as "bacterial SSU rRNA". It matches the Rfam family "Bacterial small subunit ribosomal RNA", at positions 249 to 885 of the family's 1533-position model. The record is from RNAcentral.
UUGGUGGGGUAAUGGCCUACCAAGGCUUUGACGGGUAGCCGGCCUGAGAGGGUGACCGGCCACACUGGGACUGAGACACGGCCCAGACUCCUACGGGAGGCAGCAGUGGGGAAUAUUGGACAAUGGGCGGAAGCCUGAUCCAGCAACGCCGCGUGAGGGAUGACGGCCUUCGGGUUGUAAACCUCUUUCAGCACAGACGAAGCGCCUGUGAAGGUGGUGACGGUAUGUGCAGAAGAAGCACCGGCCAACUACGUGCCAGCAGCCGCGGUAAUACGUAGGGUGCGAGCGUUGUCCGGAAUUAUUGGGCGUAAAGGGCUCGUAGGCGGUUUGUCGCGUCGGGAGUGAAAUCCACUGGCUUAACUGGUGGCUUGCUUUCGAUACGGGCAGACUGGAGGUAUGCAGGGGAGAACGGAAUUCCUGGUGUAGCGGUGAAAUGCGCAGAUAUCAGGAGGAACACCGGUGGCGAAGGCGGUUCUCUGGGCAUGUCCUGACGCUGAGGAGCGAAAGUGUGGGGAGCGAACAGGAUUAGAUACCCUGGUAGUCCACACCGUAAACGUUGGGCGCUAGGUGUGGGAUCCAUUCCACGGGUUCCGUGCCGCAGCUAACGCAUUAAGCGCCCCGCCUGGGGAGUACGG